UUCUCUGUCGUCUAAUCGGUAGGACAGCGGAUUUUGAUUCCGCCAAUCUAGGUUCGAGCCCUAGCGGGGAAGCCA
RNAcentral lists this transfer RNA (75 nucleotides) under Acetobacter cerevisiae. RNAcentral's name for it is "tRNA-Gln". It matches the Rfam family "tRNA". Rfam says of the family: Transfer RNA (tRNA) molecules are approximately 80 nucleotides in length. Their secondary structure includes four short double-helical elements and three loops (D, anti-codon, and T loops). The record is from RNAcentral. Lineage: Bacteria; Pseudomonadati; Pseudomonadota; Alphaproteobacteria; Acetobacterales; Acetobacteraceae.